Brassica oleracea var. oleracea is the source of this 124-nucleotide microRNA precursor. It matches the Rfam family "MIR9563 microRNA precursor family". Lineage: Eukaryota; Viridiplantae; Streptophyta; Magnoliopsida; Brassicales; Brassicaceae. The record is from Rfam.
GGAAUAUAAGAACUCGUCUCUUAACUUUUAACUAAAAAAACUAAGAACCAGUUUUUAAAACUCUUAUUUAAGAGCCAGUUUUUAUUUUUUUAGUUAAAAGUUAAGAGGCGGAUUCCUAUAUUCC